CAUGUCGGUUGCUUGCAACCGAUGAUGGCGACCGGCGCACGGGUGAGUAACACGUAUCCAACCUGCCCUUCACCACGGAAUAAUCCAGUGAAAAUUGGUCUAAUACCGUAUGAGGUCAUACGAUGGCAUCAGAAUAUGACGAAAGGUUUGGCGGUGAAGGAUGGGGAUGCGUCUGAUUAGCUUGUUGGUGAGGUAACGGCUCACCAAGGCGACGAUCAGUAGGGGUUCUGAGAGGAAGGUCCCCCACAUUGGAACUGAGACACGGUCCAAACUCCUACGGGAGGCAGCAGUGAGGAAUAUUGGUCAAUGGGCGAGAGCCUGAACCAGCCAAGUAGCGUGCAGGAAGACGGCCCUAUGGGUUGUAAACUGCUUUUAUAUGGGGAUAAAGUGAGUUACGUGUAGCUUAUUGCAGGUACCAUAUGAAUAAGGACCGGCUAAUUCCGUGCCAGCAGCCGCGGUAAUACGGAAGGUCCAGGCGUUAUCCGGAUUUAUUAGGUUUAAAGGGAGCGUAGGCCGCCCCUUAAGCGUGUUGUGAAAUGCCGCGGCUCAACCGUGGCACUGCAGCGCGAACUGGGGGGCUUGAGUGCACGCAACGCAGGCGGAAUUCGUGGUGUAGCGGUGAAAUGCUUAGAUAUCACGAAGAACUCCGAUUGCGAAGGCAGCUUGCGGGAGUGCGACUGACGCUGAAGCUCGAAGGUGCGGGUAUCGAACAGGAUUAGAUACCCUGGUAGUCCGCACAGUAACCGAUGGAUGCCCGCUGUGUGUCUUAAUGGUACGCGGCCAAGCGAAAGCGUUAAGCAUCCCACCUG
Molecule: ribosomal RNA, 809 nt
Filed under: uncultured bacterium
Lineage: Bacteria
Description: bacterial SSU rRNA
Rfam family: Bacterial small subunit ribosomal RNA
Source: RNAcentral